GAGGCCACUAACUGUGCACUGCAUGAAGACAUAGACCAUAACUGUGGCACCAGCUGACAGAGAGGACCCGCAGGUAUCAAAAGAUACUUGGGAGUCCUUGGUAAUAGUAAGGACCUGCUGGUACCUCUACUGCAUGAUGGUCUAUGCUAUCACUGGACAUGAAAGCUCUGCACUGUAUGACAGCAUCGACCAUCGUGUGGUCCUUAAGUGGUUAAAUAUAUAUUUUUUUAGGGAGACACAACAACAGCCUUUAUUUACAAAACAAAGAAAAGCUGAUUUGAAGACCAGCUGGAGCACUUAGAAAUGUACUGUGUUGUUAAGGCAACUAAUAAUGUUCUAAAAAUAUUUUACAUAAAAGGACAUCACCUCAAGAACUGCUUCAAGUAGUCAUGGAAACUGAAAUAAAAAGCAAUACAUUGACAAGUAGG
Molecule: non-coding RNA, 428 nt
Organism: Pelobates cultripes (western spadefoot toad)
Lineage: Eukaryota; Metazoa; Chordata; Amphibia; Anura; Pelobatidae
Source: the annotation of a GenBank genome assembly